This 281-nucleotide ribosomal RNA is filed under the name uncultured Bacteroidota bacterium. RNAcentral describes it as "uncultured Bacteroidetes bacterium partial 16S ribosomal RNA". It matches the Rfam family "Bacterial small subunit ribosomal RNA", at positions 65 to 339 of the family's 1533-position model. Lineage: Bacteria; Pseudomonadati; Bacteroidota. The record is from RNAcentral.
AGGGGCAGCAUGAUUUGUAGCAAUACAGAUUGAUGGCGACCGGCGCACGGGUGAGUAACGCGUAUGCAACCUGCCCUUCACAGGGGGAUAACCGGGAGAAAUUCCGACUAAUACCGCAUACGUCCUCCGGGGGCAUCCCCGGGGGAUGAAAGAGUUAUCGGUGAAGGAUGGGCAUGCGUGAUAUUAGGUAGUUGGCGGGGCAACGGCCCACCAAGCCUACGAUAUCUAGGGGUUCUGAGAGGAAGGUCCCCACAUUGGUACUGAGACACGGACCAAACUCC